CCUACGGGUGGCAGCAGUGAGGAAUAUUGGUCAAUGGACGAGAGUCUGAACCAGCCAAGUAGCGUGAAGGAUGACUGCCCUAUGGGUUGAAAACUUCUUUUAUAUGGGAAUAAAAUGUUCCACGUGUGGGAUUUUGUAUGUACCAUAUGAAUAAGGCUCGGCUAACUACGUGCCAGCAGCCGCGGUAAUACGGAGGAGCCGAGCGUUAUCCGGAUUUAUUGGGUUUAAAGGGAGCGUAGGUGGAUUGUUAAGUCAGUAGUGAAAGUUUGCGGCGCAACCGUAAAAUUGCAGUUGAAACUGGCAGUCUUGAGUACAGUAGAGGUAGGCGGAAUUCGUGGUGUAGCGGUGAAAUGCUUAGAUAUCACGAAGAACUCCGAUUGCGAAGGCAGUUCACUGGACUGCAACUGACACUGAGGCUCGAAAGUGUGGGUAUCAAACAGGAUUAGAUACCCCUGUAGUC
RNAcentral lists this ribosomal RNA (460 nucleotides) under uncultured bacterium. Its description in RNAcentral is "partial 16S ribosomal RNA". It matches the Rfam family "Bacterial small subunit ribosomal RNA", at positions 338 to 795 of the family's 1533-position model. The record is from RNAcentral.